UACGUAGGGCGCAAGCGUUGUCCGGAAUUAUUGGGCGUAAAGAGCUCGUAGGCGGUCUGUCGCGUCCGUUGUGAAAACUCGAGGCUCAACCUCGGGCUUGCAGUGGAUACGGGCAGACUAGAGUGCGGUAGGGGAGACUGGAAUUCCUGGUGUAGCGGUGGAAUGCGUAGAUAUCGAGAGGAACACCGAUUGCGAAGGCAGCUCGCUGGGACGUUACUGACGCUGAGACGCGAAAGCGUGGGGAGCAAACAGG
Molecule: ribosomal RNA, 253 nt
Filed under: uncultured bacterium
Lineage: Bacteria
Description: partial 16S ribosomal RNA
Rfam family: Bacterial small subunit ribosomal RNA
Source: RNAcentral